This 292-nucleotide ribosomal RNA is filed under the name uncultured bacterium. RNAcentral's name for it is "partial 16S ribosomal RNA". It matches the Rfam family "Bacterial small subunit ribosomal RNA", at positions 505 to 796 of the family's 1533-position model. The record is from RNAcentral.
GUGUCAGCAGCCGCGGUAAGACGAACCGUGCGAACGUUGUUCGGAAUCACUGGGCUUAAAGGGCGCGUAGGUGGUCUGUCAAGUCGGGGGUGAAAUCUUUCGGCUCAACCGGAAAACUGCCUUCGAUACUGACAGGCUCGAGGGAGGUAGGGGUUGCGGGAACUACCAGUGGAGCGGUGAAAUGCGUUGAUAUUGGUAGGAACGCCGGUGGCGAAAGCGCGCAACUGGACCUCUUCUGACACUGAGGCGCGAAAGCUAGGGGAGCAAACGGGAUUAGAAACCCCGGUAGUCC